This 186-nucleotide unclassified non-coding RNA is filed under the name uncultured Amphisphaeriaceae. RNAcentral's name for it is "sequence contains ITS2". The record is from RNAcentral. Lineage: Eukaryota; Fungi; Ascomycota; Sordariomycetes; Amphisphaeriales; Amphisphaeriaceae.
AGUCCACUUAAGCCUUUUGCUUAGUAUUGGGAAUCUACUUUUUGCGGGAGCUACCCUGUAGCUACCGUUGUAGUUCCUCAAAGACAGCGGCGGAGUCGUGGUUUUGCUCUGAGCUUAGUAAUUUUUUUCUAGCUUUCGAGUUGCCACAACCCCCUUGCCGUAAAACACCCUUUAUUUUUUUAAUGG